RNAcentral lists this ribosomal RNA (1447 nucleotides) under Salmonella enterica. RNAcentral describes it as "bacterial SSU rRNA". It matches the Rfam family "Bacterial small subunit ribosomal RNA". The record is from RNAcentral. Lineage: Bacteria; Pseudomonadati; Pseudomonadota; Gammaproteobacteria; Enterobacterales; Enterobacteriaceae.
CGGACGGGUGAGUAAUGUCUGGGAAACUGCCUGAUGGAGGGGGAUAACUACUGGAAACGGUGGCUAAUACCGCAUAACGUCGCAAGACCAAAGAGGGGGACCUUCGGGCCUCUUGCCAUCAGAUGUGCCCAGAUGGGAUUAGCUAGUUGGUGAGGUAACGGCUCACCAAGGCGACGAUCCCUAGCUGGUCUGAGAGGAUGACCAGCCACACUGGAACUGAGACACGGUCCAGACUCCUACGGGAGGCAGCAGUGGGGAAUAUUGCACAAUGGGCGCAAGCCUGAUGCAGCCAUGCCGCGUGUAUGAAGAAGGCCUUCGGGUUGUAAAGUACUUUCAGCGGGGAGGAAGGUGUUGUGGUUAAUAACCGCAGCAAUUGACGUUACCCGCAGAAGAAGCACCGGCUAACUCCGUGCCAGCAGCCGCGGUAAUACGGAGGGUGCAAGCGUUAAUCGGAAUUACUGGGCGUAAAGCGCACGCAGGCGGUCUGUCAAGUCGGAUGUGAAAUCCCCGGGCUCAACCUGGGAACUGCAUUCGAAACUGGCAGGCUUGAGUCUUGUAGAGGGGGGUAGAAUUCCAGGUGUAGCGGUGAAAUGCGUAGAGAUCUGGAGGAAUACCGGUGGCGAAGGCGGCCCCCUGGACAAAGACUGACGCUCAGGUGCGAAAGCGUGGGGAGCAAACAGGAUUAGAUACCCUGGUAGUCCACGCCGUAAACGAUGUCUACUUGGAGGUUGUGCCCUUGAGGCGUGGCUUCCGGAGCUAACGCGUUAAGUAGACCGCCUGGGGAGUACGGCCGCAAGGUUAAAACUCAAAUGAAUUGACGGGGGCCCGCACAAGCGGUGGAGCAUGUGGUUUAAUUCGAUGCAACGCGAAGAACCUUACCUGGUCUUGACAUCCACAGAAGAAUCCAGAGAUGGAUUUGUGCCUUCGGGAACUGUGAGACAGGUGCUGCAUGGCUGUCGUCAGCUCGUGUUGUGAAAUGUUGGGUUAAGUCCCGCAACGAGCGCAACCCUUAUCCUUUGUUGCCAGCGGUCCGGCCGGGAACUCAAAGGAGACUGCCAGUGAUAAACUGGAGGAAGGUGGGGAUGACGUCAAGUCAUCAUGGCCCUUACGACCAGGGCUACACACGUGCUACAAUGGCGCAUACAAAGAGAAGCGACCUCGCGAGAGCAAGCGGACCUCAUAAAGUGCGUCGUAGUCCGGAUUGGAGUCUGCAACUCGACUCCAUGAAGUCGGAAUCGCUAGUAAUCGUGGAUCAGAAUGCCACGGUGAAUACGUUCCCGGGCCUUGUACACACCGCCCGUCACACCAUGGGAGUGGGUUGCAAAAGAAGUAGGUAGCUUAACCUUCGGGAGGGCGCUUACCACUUUGUGAUUCAUGACUGGGGUGAAGUCGUAACAAGGUAACCGUAGGGGAACCUGCGGUUGGAUCACCUCCUUACCUUAAAGAA